GAUGAAGAACGUAGCGAAAUGCGAUAAGUAAUGUGAAUUGCAGAAUUCAGUGAAUCAUCGAAUCUUUGAACGCACAUUGCGCCCGCCAGUAUUCUGGCGGGCAUGCCUGUUCGAGCGUCAUUUCAACCAUCAAGCCCCGGGCUUGUGUUGGGGACCUGCGGCUGCCGCAGGCCCUGAAAUGCAGUGGCGGGCUCGCUGUCACUCCGAGCGUAGCAGUUACAUCUCGCUCUGGGCGUGCUGCGGGUUCCGGCCGUUAAAAGCCUUAUUUACCCAAGGUUGACCUCGGAUCAGGUAGGAAGACCCGCUGAACUUAAGCAUAUCAAUAAGCGGAGGA
Molecule: unclassified non-coding RNA, 334 nt
Filed under: soil metagenome
Description: partial contains 5.8S ribosomal RNA, internal transcribed spacer 2, and large subunit ribosomal RNA
Rfam family: 5.8S ribosomal RNA (bases 1-120)
Source: RNAcentral